GAUGAACGCUGGCGGCGUGCCUAAUACAUGCAAGUCGAGCGAACGGAUGAGAAGCUUGCUUCUCUGAUGUUAGCGGCGGACGGGUGAGUAACACGUGGAUAACCUACCUAUAAGACUGGGAUAACUUCGGGAAACCGGAGCUAAUACCGGAUAAUAUUUUGAACCGCAUGGUUCAAAAGUGAAAGACGGUUUUGCUGUCACUUAUAGAUGGAUCCGCGCUGCAUUAGCUAGUUGGUAAGGUAACGGCUUACCAAGGCAACGAUGCAUAGCCGACCUGAGAGGGUGAUCGGCCACACUGGAACUGAGACACGGUCCAGACUCCUACGGGAGGCAGCAGUAGGGAAUCUUCCGCAAUGGGCGAAAGCCUGACGGAGCAACGCCGCGUGAGUGAUGAAGGUCUUCGGAUCGUAAAACUCUGUUAUUAGGGAAGAACAUAUGUGUAAGUAACUAUGCACAUCUUGACGGUACCUAAUCAGAAAGCCACGGCUAACUACGUG
This 497-nucleotide ribosomal RNA is filed under the name uncultured bacterium. Its description in RNAcentral is "partial 16S ribosomal RNA". It matches the Rfam family "Bacterial small subunit ribosomal RNA", at positions 28 to 507 of the family's 1533-position model. The record is from RNAcentral.